GGCAGGUCGCUCGCUCGCCCACACACUGUCAAGUUCAACUCCCCGCUCCGCUCCCCCAAAGAUUCCAAAUUUUCCCAAAUCGCUGGCCUCAAUCGCCCGCGCCCCCGCCGAAUCCCCAGAUCCCCACCUCCUCCCGCGCGCCCCGGCCCCCAGCUCCGCCCAAUUCUAGGGUUCCCCGCCCGUACGCCAGCUCCCCACCGCCAGAUUAGGGUUUCCAUCUCGCAUUCCGCCCUCCCGGAGCUUCCCCUUCCGGGCGAUUGGAGCCGGAGAGGAGCGUCCGGCCGCGGCGAGCUGCGGGUUCCCUCUGCCUAGGGCCUGGAUUUCCGGCGGCGGGGGGGAUGUCGUGAACGCCGGAGCUUGCUUGCUUGCUCUUCCCCGUCCGUCGGGGAGCUGAGGUGAGCUGAGCUGAGCUCAGGCUAGGCUAGGGUUUCGUGCUGCGUGCUCCGUCAGCGAGGAGGGCAGCCGGAGAUGUUCUACUCGCAGUUCAUCUUGGCCAAGAAGGGCCCGCUCGGGACCAUAUGGAUCGCCGCGCACUUGGAGCGCAAGCUCCGCAAGAACCAGGUCACGGACACGGACAUCGGCGUCUCCGUAGAUUCAAUUAUAUUCCCUGAGGUUCCAAUUGCGCUGCGGUUAUCCAGUCAUCUUAUGGUAGGCGUGGUCAGAAUCUAUUCUCGGAAGGUCAACUACCUAUUUCAUGAUUGCAGUGAAGCCUUGCUCAAGAUAAAACAAGCAUUUAGGUCUGCUGCUGUUGAUCUCCCCCCUGAAGAAUCAACUGCUCCAUAUCAUUCUAUAACACUCCCUGAGACAUUCCAUCUUGAUGAUUUUGAGUUACCGGAGGCUGAGUUUCAGGGGGACAUUGAUCAUCAUGUAAGCUCAAAAGAACAGAUUACCCUGCAAGACAACCCAGAGAGAACAGGAUAUUCAACAUCUGAAUUUGGUUUAGAUGAAAGAUUUGGUGAUGGCAGUUCUUCACAUAUGGGUUUUGAUUUGGAGGAGGAAUUAUUGCUGGCGAAGGAUGAUCCAAUUCAACUCGAAUCUGGUGAUGGUAUCCUCAUUCAAGGUCAAUCAUCACUUCAUCCUACUGAUAUGGAUGUUGACGAUAACCCAAGUAAAGAUGAAGAGGCUGAAGCAUAUAACAAAAUGGAUGAUGAACCUUCUAGUUCCAGCAAGCAAAAUCAAUCGAAUGCAGAUGAUUUAAGAAACAAUAUUCCUAACUGGACUGGUUACAAUUUGCGUACCCCUGAUUUGAAUGAUAUGCUUUUCCACAAUGAAGGUGACGCGGGGCCAUCUUCUUCAUACUAUCAGCCUAGUCCCUUCCCUUGUGAUGAUCCUGCAUCUCCUGCCUCUCCUGCCUCUCCUGAGUUUGUAAGCGCUCAAGCCCCAGCUACACCUGGCUUAAUGGAAGAAACAGUUCCUUCCAGAGUGCAUGAAAGUCCUGUUCUGAGUCCGCAACGGAAAGCUUCACCAUCAAGCAACGAGGAAACUGCAAAGAUUGACAAUUUUGCUGCUCCGCCCUCAGAUUUUGUCCAUUCAGCCGCAGCAAAUGAUGUUGGGAUGGUUGAAUUUGGAUUGACUAAGCCUGUGCAAGUUGAGUCUUCUGGUGCCGCACAGGAGAAUUCUGCCGCUCCAUCCUUAGAUUUUCUCCAUUCAGCUACAGCUACAGCUAAUGCUAAUGAUGCUGUUGGUGCUGAGAUGGCUGAGUUUAGCUUGGUUAAGCCUGUGCAAGUUGAGUCUUCCGGUGCAGCACAGGAGAAUCUUGCCGCUCCAUCCUCAGAUCCUUUCCAUUCAGCUGCAGCAAAUGCUAAUGAUGCUGUUAGUGCUGAGUUUGCUGAAUUUGGAUUGGCUAAGCCUGUGCAAGUUGAAUCAUCUGGUGCUGUAGCUCCACCCUUGGAUUUUCUCCAUUCAGCUGCAGUAAAUGCUAAUGAUGCUGUUGGUGCUGAGAUGUCUGCAUAUAGAUUGACUAAUCCUGUGCAAGUUGAGUCUUCCGGUGCACCCUCAGAUUUUCUCCAUUCAGCUACAGCUAAUGCUAAUGAUGCUGUUGGUGCUGUACAAGAGAAUUUUGCUGCUCCACCCUCAGAUUUUUUCCAUCCAGGUGCAGCACAUGCUAAUGAUACUGCACAUGCUGAUGAUACUGUUGGUCCUGAGAUGACUGAAUUUAGAUUGGCUAAUCCUGUGCAAGUUGAGUCUUCUGGUGCUGUACAUCAUAAUUUUGCUGCUCCACCGUUAGAUUUUCUCCAUCCAGGUGCAGCACAUGCUAAUGAUGCUGUUGGUGCUGGGAUGGCUGAAUUUAGAUUGGCUGAGCCGGUGCAAGUUGAGUCUUCUGGUGCUGUGCGGGAGAUGGAUUUUCUGAGGCAACACUCUGCAACUGUGGAUAUGCCACCAGAACCACAAACAUCAAAGGCUACUGUUGAUAAGUUGGUGGUAAAUACUGAGGAUAUAGCUGUAUCAGGUAAAACACUGCCUUUUAAAGCAACCAUGGGAAGUGUGCCAUUUGUUCAGAAUACUUCGGAGCCACGCACUAAUGGUUCUACCGAGACAUACGUGACAGGGAAUCAAACACAUUUUAAUGAGGGGUCAGUAAACAUGCAAGAGCCAUACCCUGGUGGUUCUACCGAGCCAUGGGUGACAGGGCAACAACAACAAAGCUUCUUGUCCCAAGCAAGUUGGGGUAGGCCUAGUGGUUCUACCGAGCCACGCGUGACAGGGCAUCCAACACAUUUUAAUGAGGGAUCAGUAAAUGUGCAAGGGUAUAAUCUGCAUGCUCCUAAUGUGUUUCUCGGACAUAACUUACAAGAAAUACCACCAGGAAUGACACACAGUAAUAUAUCAACUGCUGCUUUCCAACAGAACACUGGAACAAUACCGCAAUACAUGUCAUAUAAUGAUAGACCAAAUGACAUGUUCACCUCAAAUUUCCCAGAACGCGAGAGAAUGCUCUCAGCUCCAUAUAUUGGAUUCCACCAGACAAAUGACUUGGGGCAGUUAACUGCAGAGAAAGGAAUCACUGAAUCUGAUGGAAGUAACAAAAUAGGUAGCCUUAGUAGCAGAAAACGUCACUUGGAGGAUAGCAUGCCAGCUCCAGAGAGUAGGACUACUGAAAAUUUGUCCAGCACACCAGAUGGUCAAAGAACCACUGAUGCUAUUCCUAACGAUGAUGAUAUACUGGCAUCCAUUUUAGUUGGUAGAAGAACCCCUGGAUUGGUGCUUGAUUCAACUCCAUUACCACCUAAUGCAUCAACUUCAAAACGCCAAAGGUUGACACCGAAGACCGCAUUGACACCCAAGACCAGGACACCCAAGAGAAGAGUGAAAAUGGAUGAUGCCAUGGUUAUACAUGCUGAUAUUAUACGGCAGCAGUUGAUUAGUACCGAGGAUAUAAGGCGCAUCCGUAGAAAGGCUCCAUGCACCCGUACUGAAAUAUGGAUGAUCGAGAAAGGUUCACUUGAAGAUGAUAUAUUCCGCGAGCCUAUAUUUUCCUGUAUGCACAAGGACCUGAACGGUUUACACUAUCGAACCUAUGAGUCUGUUUCUCAAUUCACCGUACAUAACAGGGAACCGCAAGGACAAGUAGACAUGUCUGAAACUAUCCGAGCAGAUUACAGCAAUGCUGGCAUCUCUGGUGCAGAGGAAAGUGCAGCUCAUGAUCACCAACUUCAUAUGGUGCUACCAGAUACCAACAAUGUUGACAUCUCUGGUGCAAAGGACAGUGCAGCUCUUCAUCACGAACUGAAUAUGGGACUACCAGAUGGAGCUCACAACGUUGGCAUCUCUGGUGCAAAUGACAGUGCAGCUCUUGAUCACCAACUAAAUAUGGGACUACCAGAUGGAGCUCACAACGUUGGCAUCUCUGGUGCAAAUGACAGUGCAGCUCUUGAUCACCAACUAAAUAUGGGACUACCAGAUGGAGCUCACAACGUUGGCAUCUCUGGUGCAAAUGACAGUGCAGCUCUUGAUCACCAACUAAAUAUGGGACUACCAGAUGGAGCUCACAACGUUGGUAUCUCUGGUGCAAAUGACACUGCAGCUCUUGAUCUGGGACUACCAGAUGGAGCUCACAACGCUGGCAUCUCUGGUGCAAAUGACAGUGCAGCUCUUGAUCACCAACUUCAUAUGGGACUACCAGAUGGUGCUCAAUUAGAUGCUACACCACAAGAAGCAACUGAUGCAGUUGAUGCUACAGCUGCAUUUGGUUUGCAAAUGCCAUCUGAUGAACGUGAUAACAACAUUGAAAAAGUAACUGAGUUUGGUGACGGGAAAGAAAUCCCACUUGUUGACGAAACAAAUGCUGCUGCAAACAUUACUGCUCAUGUUGAUACACUGGAUAAGGAUUGCCAUCAAGAUGCUUCAGCAGAUAUGCAGAGGAAUACAAAUGCUGAUACACCUCUCUUUGUGCAAGAUGACAUAACCCAUGAUUCUGCUACUAUAACAGAUGCUCCAGAUGUUGCUUUGCAUAGUUCUGGUCCAGCUUGUGCGCAAGCAGUGGACGCCCGGGAAGGGGAAUUGAGUGACAUUGUUCGCAGUGAUAUUAAUACUUUUGAGGAUAAGGAGAUGCCCACUUCUGAGGUUACUGGACUGGAAUUCACUGAACAUGCCUCUGGUUUUCCUCAACCAACAGAGGAUGAGAAUGCUGUGUCGGCGAUGGGAGAAAAUUCUGGCUUGCAAGGAAACAAUGCAGGAUCCUUCACGGACAUGGACAACAUGGGGCAUGACUUCACGGACAUGGACCACACUGGGCAUGACUUUGCACUUAAGGAAUGCAGUGAUUUUGGAAGUGCAAUUCAUGGUGUUGACGCAGAUUUUCUACCCUAUGAUGAUGAUGGGGACUUUGAUGAGGCAAUUGAUCUCGAUGAUGAUGACGAUGAGCCAAAUCCUGACGAAUUCCAGUCUCAUGAUGCACUUAGUGGCUGGUCUUCUCGUACCAAGGGUGUUGCAAGAUAUCUCAAGACUCUGUUCGAUGAAGAGUCUGGUCGGGGGAGAAAGAAUGUUGUCAUUGAUCAUCUGGUAAAUGGAAAGUCUCGGAAAGAAGCCUCAAGGAUGUUCUUCGAGACCUUGGUCCUGUCGACGAAGGACUACAUUCAGGUGGAGCAACCAAUUCCCUUUGGUUUAAUAAACGUGAAGCCAGUAUCCAAGCUCCUGAAGACAGAUUUCUAGACCAAGACCGCCCUAGCAAGAGUGGCAUGAUAUACAUACAUCUUACAAUAUCUGUCACAGCACCAUCAACAACAUACAGAUCGUCUUCUUCAUCCUUGUCAUCGUCGUCGUGACUUGGCCCCCGUUUUUCGUUGUUUGUUGUUAAAUUUAUCCCCCUCCGUAGUAGUAUCGUGCCCCCCGCACUAAUCUGUGCCUAGCAGAGCUGAGCCGAGCUGAAGUAGUAGGGCUGUGUUGUUGUGCUCCAUCCAUGUCAGUGUACAUAUAUGAUUAGCCCGUGUAAAGUUAAGUUCUAUAUGUCGUGUAAUGUGGUAGUGUCGUUGGCUCGGAGGAUGUUAUUGACUGCCUGUUGUUUUACCUUGAACAGUCCUUGGGAACUGUAUGCAUCUGGAUCUGUUGGACUGCUUGUAUUUGGAAGUUUUCCUCAAGUUUCAGGACUGAUGAAUUU
RNAcentral lists this ribosomal RNA (5596 nucleotides) under Triticum aestivum (bread wheat). Its description in RNAcentral is "partial small subunit ribosomal RNA". The record is from RNAcentral. Lineage: Eukaryota; Viridiplantae; Streptophyta; Magnoliopsida; Poales; Poaceae.